This 380-nucleotide ribosomal RNA is filed under the name Anadyomene linkiana. RNAcentral's name for it is "eukaryotic LSU rRNA". It matches the Rfam family "Eukaryotic large subunit ribosomal RNA", at positions 85 to 469 of the family's 3401-position model. The record is from RNAcentral. Lineage: Eukaryota; Viridiplantae; Chlorophyta; Ulvophyceae; Cladophorales; Anadyomenaceae.
AACGGCGAGCGAAAAGGGAUGAGCCCAGUAUGAAAAUCACUAGCUUGCUGGUGAAUUGUAGUCUGCAGUGGCAACUCCUGGGUGGCGCGCGGCCGAAGCAUCUUGGAACAGAUCGCCGCAGAGGGUGAGAGUCCCGUAGGCCAAGCAAAGCCCUUCACGGAGUGCUCACGGAGAGUCGGGUUGUUUGGGAAUGCAGCCCCAAUUGGGUGGUAAACCCCAUCUAAGGCUAAAUACCGGUGGGAGACCGAUAGCAAAAAAGUACCUCGAGGGAACGAUGAAAAGACCGCUGGCAAGCGAGUGAAAGAGUGCAUGAAAUUGUACAGUGGGAAGGGAUGGCCUGGCGUGCUGCGCCCGAGUAUNCCCGGCUCGUGGAGCCGGUG